GAGGAUCGUCGCGGCCCGCAUCGUCCGGC
RNAcentral lists this small RNA (29 nucleotides) under Bombyx mori (domestic silkworm). Its description in RNAcentral is "ovarian small RNA-15896". Lineage: Eukaryota; Metazoa; Arthropoda; Insecta; Lepidoptera; Bombycidae. The record is from RNAcentral.